CAACACCAUGCACAAGCAGGAGGUGAUGAUCAAGAAAAGGAUGAAGAUUGUUUUCUCUGUGGGUCUGGAGAUGAAACAGUCCACAGUGUUAGGACAAGGCUGCAAAUCACACUUCAAAAGGCUACAUGUAGAACUACGAGAAGAGAAGGCGUGGAGACCAUAAUUAGCUACGUGCUCUGCUGCUACUAUGUAGACCAGCAAACGGAAGAUGAACACAACAGCCAGCCAUAGCCUCCCAGUCCCAGUUGAGUAUUUAUUUACUCCACUUAGAAGGUCUCUGAGGAACAUCCAACUCAUGGCUUAGUCUCAAAAGAAGGCAAGACUCUGCAAAAGAAAACAAUUUCAUCAUGAUUCAAUUAUUUCUAUUCCACUCAUAAUUUGUACUGUCUUAUUUGGGAGAUUGUGAAAGACAAACUCCAAUGGCUACAUUGUAGCAUCUCUGGAUGUUGAAGGCUCUCUAUGAAUCCCAUAGGAUGUGCUCAUUUUUUAUACAAGGAAAUGGUACAACUGGUCUGUGGACAUACUUGAUCCCAUGCCCACUUUAAUUUGAAAUUUGGUUGAUUUUCUCUAACAUUCUACCACAUUUUCAAGCAAUUCUCUGGUCGAAAAUCUUUCUGGUUUGCUGCUUUCCUCCAAAGAUGGAUGGGUUGUUACUGAUUAGGGAAACAUAUAAAUCCCAUGGUGACACUGGUACCUUGAGAUAUCCUUCACAUACCAGACUUCUGAAGUUCUAGUCUCACUUUCUGUACUCGAUUGAUGCUCCUCCUCAGUCACUGAGGGCUCUCCAGUGUCCUUAGCUGCUGUUACUUCCCAUACCCUGCACCAGCAGCUGGACUUGCCUACAAUUUGACAGUGAAAAGUGAAGCUUUCCAAUAUGAACUCAAAUCUGUUGCUCCUUCAUCCUCCAGAUGGACUUGCAUCCAUACCCAGCUUUCCUUCUUUAUCAGUUUGGAGGGAGAGGUCUCCUUUCUCUUGUAUCAAAAAAUUAUUUCUGUUCUAUAUCUCAUUCUUAAUCUGUCCUAUAUUUUAUAUAAGGAUACUUCAAAAUGUUCAAUGUAAAUACAUAUUAUGAAAAAACUCUAAAUGUAUUCCAAAUAUUUUUGUGCCAAAAUAAACAUCGGAUUUCAUUUUCCACAAGCAUUUUGAAGUACCCUCAUAUCAUCAACUUCCACUGACCCCUUUUUCUCAGCAUUUCUUGCUAUUUUUGGUUUCCAGGGUGUGAGGGGAAUAGAUGAAUUUUCAUUGCUUUUCUUCUGACACUUUUUCUUCUUUAUCCCUUAUUUCUGCUUCCUCAACUAUUAGUCCUUACUGCCCUGCCUUCUCCCAUUGCUUUGCUCCUCCUAUUUCAAUACUUUUGUUUGUCCAGUUCUUUUUUUUUUUAAGAUUUAUUUAUUUAUUUAUUUGAAAGUUACAGAGAGGGAGAAGCAGAGAGAGAGAGAGAGAGAGAGAGAGAGAGAGAGAGAGAUUCCAUCUGCUGGUUCACUCCUCCAAUGGCUGCAACAGCAGGGCUGGGACAGACUGAAGCCAGGAGCCAGGAGCCAGGAGCUUCAUCCAGAUCUCCCACAUAGGUGCAGGAGCCCAAGAAUUUGGGUCAACUUCCACUGCUUUCACAGGUGCAUUAGCAGGGAGCUGGAUCAGAAGUGGAACUUCUGGGUCUUAAACCAGCACCCAUAUGGAAUGCUAGCAUUGCAAGUGGUGGCUUUGCCCGCUGCACCACAGUGCUGGCCCCUGUCCAGUUUUUAAAAACCUCUGUCCUCUGCUCUGCUCUUAUUCCACUACUUUCACUAGGAAAUCUCAUUCAUUCUGUGGAUUGAAGCGCUGCUUUCAAGUUCCUGACUCAAAUCUCAGGUCUUUCCCAGAUCUCCACGUCCCACCAUCUCUGUUUAUCAUCUAAAUGUUUCAUAGGAAUCAGAAGCAUGUUAUGUCUACAUCUGAAUUUAUUAACUUCCUUGCUCUUUUUUCUUCCUUUUUUUUUAGUUUUUUAACUUUUAACAGAUUCAAUGUAGCUCAUAAAUAAAAUUCUAAGAAUACAUUCUCUCUCUCUUUUCUUUCAUUUUAUAUAUAUUCAUAUAUAUUCACAAUAUAUUUUUAAUUUACGUUAUAGUCAAGGCUUAAUGCUGCACCAAAUAAAUGGUUCAACAACUAAAAAGUGAAAUAACCUAUUUUAGCAGGAAUAUAGGCAAAGCUGUAAACAAUAACUAAAUUGAAAGAUGACUAUUUCACCCAUAUACAGAAAAUUUUUUUAAAUUAAUUUUUUUAAUUAAAGCUAUAGUAUAACAUUCUUUUUUAAGAUUUUAUUUAUUUAUAAGGCAGAAUUAUAGACAAGGAGAAGGAGAGACAUAGAAGUGUUCAAUCUGCUGGUUUGCUCCCCCAAUGGCUGCAAAAGCUGGAGCUGGCCUAUCCGAAGCCAGGAGCCAGGAGCUUCUUCUGGGUCUCCCACACGGGUGCAGGGGCCCAAGCACUUGGGCCAUCUUCCACUGAUUUCCCAGGCCAUAAGCAGAGAGCUGGAUCAGAACAGGAGCAGCCAGGACAUGAACCAGUGCCCAUUUGGGAUACCGGCACUGUAGGCGGAAGCUUAGCCUACUAAGCCACAACGCCAGCCCCAGUAUAACAUUCUUAACCACUGGUUCUUAACCAUUGAUUUAACAAAGAUAUAAAACAAAACUAUAUCUGCAGCAAUACUGAUAUACACAGGGAUGUCUUUUUUUGAGUUUUUGUUUUUUUAUUUUUGUUUGUUUGUUUGUUUUUAAUUUUACUUCCACACAUAAAGGAGAAUGUGUGGUAUUUGUCUUUCUUUGGCUUAUUUCACUCAACAUGAUGAUGUCCAGUUGUAUCCAUUUUGCUACAAAUGAUAGAAUUUCUUUUUUAUAGCUAAAUAAUAUUAUGUUGUGUGUAUAUACCACAUUUUCUUUAUUCAUUUGUCUGAUGAUGGAAACUUUGUUUGAUUUCUUGAUUUGGCUAUUGUGAACUGCUGCUAUAAACAUAGUGGUGCAGGUAUUUCUUUAAUACAACAUGUUCAUGUCUUUUGGGUGUAUAUCCAAAAAUGACUUCCUUGCUCUUUGAUUCAGUUGUCUUGUCAGGUGGUGUUAUCAGCACCCAAGCACCCAAAUAAAAAAUCCCAAAUUCAUCCUGAUCUCCUUUUCUCAUGAACCUUUUUCAAUUGUCCAUGAAGUUUUUUUUUUAACUUUUAUUUAAUGAAUAUAAAUUUCCAAAAUACAGCUUAUGGAUUACAAUGGCUUCCCCCCCAUAACGUCCCUCCCACCUGCAACCCUCCCCUUUCCCACUCCCUCUCCCCUCAUGAAGUUUUUUUGAUUCCUAUUAAAUUCUCUUGACUCCAUCUCUAAGUCACUGCUGAAACCUCUCUCACUUCUUCAACCCUCCCUCUACUUCUAUUUCCUGUCUCAUUAUCUCAUCCCCAGUACAUGCUCAGUGCUCUUUGAUCUCUUACACCUCUCUCCAUCUCUUGAGUAAAAAUUCUGGGGAGCCCCUUCUGUAUUUCAGAGACAUUGUGUUUCUGGCCCUGUCUACUUCCAUCUUGUCUUAAAAUUGCACUCUGUAGCGUAGAUUCCGACUUCCAUUUGUUGGCUAUGAUCAGCACUUUAUUCGGUGCUGUUGGUCUGUUGUAACCAUUCUGAAAUAUGGGUUUUGUUUUUGAAUUAUCUUCAUUUGUUUUGUAGUAGUUGUUAAUUUGUUCUUUCAAAUGAGAAGGCAGACACUGAGAAUAGAAGUCACUUUCCCAAGAUCACAAAAUGAGAGGCACAGCCACGUUCUCAAGUCCAGUUUCUGUUGCUCUAGAUCACGGUUUCUCAACAUUGACAUUUUGGAUUGGAAAACUCUUUGUUUCAAUAGCUGUCCUUUGCAUUUAAUGGAUAUUUAUCAUCAUACCUAACCUUUAGAUGCCAGCAGCAGUUUCUCCUCAGCCCACCACACACACACACUCAUGCGCACACACACACCCACACACACAUUUUGUGACAACCCAAAAUGUCUCCAGACUUUUCCAAAAAUGUUCUCUGAGAGGGAAAGUCUCCCUGAUUGAAAUGCUUUUAACUAAUUCUGCCAUAAGCAGAAGAUGUGAUCUAGAGCCCCAGGCCUGCCACUAAUUUACUUUCUUUUUUCUAGGCCAGAAAACCAUGCCUUUUCAGGUGCUAUUUCGUAUUACAAAAAUCAGUUACUUCUUAUUUUCUCCAUAGAUUCAGUGAAAAAAAAUCAUGGAAAUGGGAGUGUGGGGGAGUCAGGGGAUUAAGAAGCUUGGAAUAUUGUUACAAUAGCACACCUGUCUCAGCACAUAACAUUAUGUUUACAGAGGAGCAAUAUGGAUCAAGCUCACAUGGUGAGAAGAUGAAUGAAGGUUAACAGGUGAUUUCAGAUAAAACAAAUAUUCAUGUGCAUAAUGUGUUAUUCACUAGGACAUAAAUACUUCAAUGUCCUUGGCGUUCAGGACACAAACAAAAUUAUAUUAAAUAAAAAGGAUUCAUUUUUAAUCUACCAGAAAGGUUAAUGUCUUUAUGAAUUAUUAAAACAAAGCCCUUAAGAUUAAAAAGUGGCAGGGUGGUAUUAUGUUUCAUUUUGACAUAUGUCAUUGGGCAUUUAUCCAUAUUACUAAAGAGGAUAUUCAUGUAUUAUAAAACAUUUGAAAGCACUUUGUUAGGUGUCUUAGAGAAAGGAAGAAGGUAAAUAUAGAUUUAAACUGUGUUGCUAAAACAAAAGUGGUAAGAAAGUGACUGAUCUUUGAAUACAAAGAACUAAUGUCAGAAUUACAACUUCCAUUUGACUGAUAAAUGCCCAGCCUACUUUCAAAUUCUUUGCUGAUGGAAAGACAAGAGAUUUCUCAUGGAGAAGAAGCAUUUUAAUGUUAUUUGCCUAACUGAAGUGGUUUAGCAUAGUGGUUAAGAACCUUCGUUCACUGAUGGACUCCUCAUGUUCAUGUCCAAAUUUGUCUGUGGUAAUAAUGGAACUUGUGAGACUUUCUUUAGUUAAUAUUUAUGAAGCUCCCAAAGUAGGGUCUAGUGCAAGGUUGGUGCUCAGUAACCAUUGUCAUUAUUAUUUUCUUAUUUUGCUAUUGAAAACUUGGUUGUUGUCAAAGUGAAGCCUCCACAUCAUAAAUUUAUUACGUAUUUAAUUUAAUUGCACAUAAUUAGGGGUACAUUAAAUAUUUAAUGCUAGUUCUAUUCUUGUGAAGGGGUACAAUAGUCAGAAAUCUCUAUGUGGUAUAUCUUUAAGCAUUUUAAAGCCAUGAAAUCAUUUGCUCAAGUUUUUGAUAUAUUAAAAAUAAUUCCAGAGUCUCUUCUUAGCAAUAGUCUUUAAUUUAUCCAUUUUCUUAAAUUUCCAAUGAUCCUUUCUAAUUUUUAAUGGAGUUCUUACCAAUUCUAAUAACCCAAUACUCCCAUGACGUUCUCCCUUCACUUAAGAAGUAGCAGUUUACUUCACAGGAAUUUCAUCUGGAAAAUUCAAUUAAACAUUUCCAGAAAGUAAAAUAUGCAAUAUUUCCAAUACCAAGAAUGAUUUUGAAAAUUUUUCUCAAAUAUUUGAUGUAAAUUAAGAGUGGAAUGGAUAUAAGGUGCAAGGAAAAUGAUAUUUCUGCCUCCAAAAAAAUGACAUUGAUCUGUAUCACACAUCAUUUGCAAAAAUCAAUUCAAAGUGGAUCUAUGACCUAAAUAUAAGAGCUUAAUCCAUAAAACUUUUAGAAGAAAACCUAGGGGCAAGGUGCCAUGACCUUGGAUUGGAUUUGAUCCAGCAUUUAUACAUGACAACAAAAGCAUGGACAAUAAAAGAAAAAAUAGAUAAAUUGGACAUCGUCAGAAUUAAAAAUUUUUGUACCUUGGGAUUGUAUCAAGAAAGUGAAAAGACAAUCUCUAAAAUGAGAUAAAAUAUUUAUAAAUUAUAUAAAGAUAUAAAACCCCAAUAUAUAAAGAACUUCUAAAAAAUAAGACAACCUAAUUUUUUAAAUGAGCAAAAGAUUUGAGUAAACAUUUUCCAAGAAAGAUAUAGAAAUAGCCACUGAACACAUGAAAAAGUUCUCAAAUCAUUCAUCAUUAUAGAAAUGCAAAUAAGAAUGAGAUACCACUUCAAAUUUGCUAAAAUGACUAUAAUUUUUAAAAUAUAAAAACUUGUGAGAAUGAGGGGAAAUUAGAACCAUUGUAUAUUGCUGAAGAGAGUAUUAAAUAAUGCAACCAAUUAGAAAAAUUUAGCAUUCCCCAAAAAGCUAAAUAGGGGUUUACCACACACCCCAGCAUAUAUACUCCUAGGUUUAUACACAAAAUAAUUGAAAACAGUGACUCAAACACAUACUUGCAUACCAGUGUUCAUUGCAGUAUUAUUCUCAAUAAGCAAAAGGUGGAAACUAUCCAAGUGUCUUUCAACAGUUGAAUGGAUAAUCAAAAUGAGGUAUGCACAUAUAAUGGAAUAGUAUUCAGCCAUAAAAGUAAUAAAAGUCUGAUGCAUAUUACAGCAUGAAUGAGCCAUCAAGACAUUAUGCUAAGUGAAAUAAUCAAGUCACAAAAGGACAAGUGCUGCAUAAUUCCACUUAUCUGAAAUAUUUAGAACAGGUAAAUUCAUAUAUACAGAAGUAUGUUAGAGGGUACCCAGGGCUAAAAGGAAGGGAGAAUUGGGAAUUGCUGCUUCAAAGGUUGUAGUGUUUCUGGGAGUGAUGAAAACUUUGAAAAUAGGAGUGAUGACUGAAUCCUGUAAAUGCAAUGAAUGCCAUCAAAUUAUAGGCUCAAAAUUAAAAUGUAAACUUUGCCGGUGCCAUGGCUCGAAAGGCUAAUCCUCCACCUAGCGGCGCCAGCACACCGGGUUCUAGUCCCAGUCGGGGCACCAGAUUCUUUCCCGGUUGCCCCUCUUCCAGGCCAGCUCUCUGCUGUGGCCCGGGAGGGCAGUGGAGGAUGGCCCAAGUGCUUGGGCCCUGCACCCCAUGGGAGACCAGGAGAAGCACCUGGCUCCUGGCUUCGGAUCAGCGCAGUGCGCCGGCCGCAGCGAGCCAGCCGUGGCGGCCAUUGGAGGGUGAACCAACGGCAAAAGGAAGACCUUUCUCUCUGUCUCUCUGUCUCUCUCUCUCACUGUCCAUUCUGCCUGUCAAAAAAAAAAUGUAAACUUUGUGUUAUAUAUAUUUUUGCCACAAUAAAGCUAGAAAAGAACCAGGGUAGGAGGAGCCUACUUAAAAAAUAAUGAUGCAAUAGGGGCCCAUAAACCCUAAAUAUUUUUUAAAAAGGAGUAGAAAAAAGUACAAAAGGAAUAAAAGCAAAACAUUAGUAAUGCUUGUCAAUGAGUAAAUUUCUCAUAAUUUUGUUUAUUAUGACUUUCUCCAUUGCCCGUAUUUUCAUGAAAAUUUAUUAAAUAUUAAAAAAUAAAUCUAAUGAAAGACAAAAAUCAAAGAGCCACCAUGUGUUUACAUAUGUGUAUGUGUUUUUUGUAACAAAAUUAAAUGAGGCUGUUUACAGAGUAGAUGUGUGUCUAUCAACCAUUGAAUUUAUGCCUGGAAGUUACCAUGUAGGAAGAUUAGAUGGUGGAUCCUUUCCCGUCCUGCUUGCCUCUGCAUGCACGUCAGUGCAUCUCCAGUCCUCUUAACUCUGAAAACCAGCUCCUGUCUGCACCAUAAGCGUAUCAUCCCGUCAACUUAAUUAUUCAAAAUGAGCUUUGCUGGUACUUACUCCAUCUUCCAUUGUAUCCCUCUUCCCAAAAUGCAGCUCCUUCUCCAGUGUUCUCCACCUCAGUAAGUAGUACUAACAUUCACCCAAGUAAUAAAGCCAGAAACCUGGAAGUCAUUCUUCCUCCUUCUCUCUUCAUGAAAUAAACAUGCAAUCUACAUUCAAAGCCAGUGUUUUUACCUUUCAAAUAUAUUCCAGAACUUUUCACUCCUUUCAUCUGUACUGACACCAUCCAAAUCCAAGCCACUCUUACCUCCUUCCCAGAAUACCAUAAUAGCUUCCUGUCUCCCCACUUAUCAUUGUUGGCCCCUCCAACCUCUUAUCCAUUCCGUAGUUAUAUUAACAUUUAAAGUGGAUAUCAUAUAUACAAUUUCACUUCUCAGCUUAAAGCUCUAUGAUGGCUUCUUAUUGAAUUUAGAGUAGGGAAAGAAGUCCAAAUCCUUAUCUUGAUGACAAUAGCCUGUGUUCCGGUGCCCUUGCCUGUCUCUCCAAUGCCACUCUGCAAUCACCAAGGGCCACUGGAUUCCAGAUGUGUCCCCUUGCUUCAGUUUCUCCUUUAGACCCUAUGUCCAUUGUGUCCCUCCUUCCUGCAUUGCUCUUGUCCCCUCCACCUGAAUCAGAAUGGCUUUGCUGGACCUCAUCCAUCUAAAUUAGGUCUUCCUUGGUAUUCUUGUUUGUAAUCUUGCUUUAUUUUCCUUCAUGCCACCAAUAACUUGUAAUCACAUAUACUAUGUGAUAAAUAUCUGUACAUACUGUGUGUUCUUUAAAAGAAUGGACUAGGACUAGUGUUGCCUGAUUAUGCAAAUAAAAAUGUAGGAUGCCUAAGAAAAUUUGAAUUUCAGACAAUUUUCUAGCCUAAAUGUGUCAUUUAAUAUUUUAUAUAUUUAUACUAAAAUAGGAUUCAUUGUUUAUCUGAAAUUCAAAUUUAGCUGGGCAGUCUGUAUCUUUUUUGGCAAUCCAAGCAAGUGUCUUGACUGCUCAUUAUUGCACAUCCAGAGAUUAAAUAAUAGUGCAAAGUUCAGCCUCUCCAGGACUCAGAAAUUCUCCUAAACACACUUGGCCACAUUGACCAUUCUUUUCUUCAAUCCAGCCUCUCUGCUCUCCAUCUGAAUAUGUAACUCCUUUUCUCCACUAAACUCAGCUCUGAGAGCCCAUCUUCCUUUAAUUCCUACCCAUGUUGAAGAAACAGAUAAUCCUGCCUCAUCUCUAUAAGGAAAGCAAGUUAGGUGUGUCCCCAGAUUCCCUCCUAAAACCCAUUCUGCACUGACAUUAGAUUAAAAUGCUUUUUCCUUCCUAUUAUCCCCUCACUCAGGAAUGUAUCACAUUUGAAAUGAAUGUCAAAUUCUCACCUUGACAUUCAACGUCCUGCCUAAUCCAACGCCCUUAUAUUUACCAGCAUUCACCAAUAGCCUUGCCCCACAUCUCCCUAUCACAAGCUCACACAUCAUUCUCACCUCCUUGUGCUUGCUGGUGCUGCUUCUCCCUCUUCUGCAUUCUCAAGUCCUACCUUCUCUUCAUAGCCUCACAGAUACUGAGUUUUGUCUCUUCAUAUUCAGUAGUCCCCAAACCUUAGCACAUUAUUUUAGCACUUGCUGAUGUAACACCUGAACCAGGCUCCCAUAAAGUAUUUUUUUCUCUGUAAAAGAGCUUAUAUGUUGCAUGGAGUUGGGGGACUGUGUUUUUUAUUUGUUUUGUCUCCUUGAAAGUGCUUAGCAUGAAGUAGCUAGUUAGUACUUAUUUGUUAACUAAACUUACAUAAAGAAGCAGUAAAGUUGAUCCUCAGGUGAAAUAGUCUCUAAUUUCUGUGCUCUUUGUCGCCAAAUAAAUCACUCCUGGUCUUCAAGGGCUUUGACUC
Oryctolagus cuniculus (rabbit) is the source of this 9501-nucleotide non-coding RNA. The record is from RefSeq and is a predicted model, not a curated record. Lineage: Eukaryota; Metazoa; Chordata; Mammalia; Lagomorpha; Leporidae.